CCAGGUUUGUGUCCAUAACCUGUUCCCAGGCUCUCCAGGCGUUCUCAGUAAUGAGAGGGUCUGAAGCGAGAGUCAAAGCCCAAGGGUGC
Molecule: non-coding RNA, 89 nt
Organism: Cyanobacteria bacterium 13_1_40CM_2_61_4
Lineage: Bacteria; Bacillati; Cyanobacteriota
Source: Rfam